ACUCACAAUCCCACCAAGAUACUUACAGCCUCAUUAUCAAGAUGGUGAGCAUGAGAUGAUCAUCAAUUCUGAUCAUCAUGCUCAUCAAAUACCAUCCAUUGACAUGCAGAAAUUGCUUUCCCAACAAUCAACCAAUUCUGAAGCUGAACUAGCCAGGCUCCAUUUUGCUUGCAAAGAGUGGGGUUUUUUCCAGGUAAUUAAGUAAACUAGCUUUACCACUUAUAUCUUUCAUCAAAUAGUUCUGAUUGUUUUUCGCCCACGAGUUCGAAGAAUUUGUCGAUAAUCAUUUAUGGCUGGUUUACGUAACCCUAAUUAAAAAAUGAGAAAAUGAAUUGAGAAUGAAUCAGAAUCAAAUUCUUAUUGAAGUUGUUUACUUAAAUGUUAUGGAAUCAGAGUAUGAAUGAAAUUGAAUUCAUAUGAGUUAUUUACUAAUUCACUUGAAUCGGAAUAUAAAUCAAUAUGAUCAUUAAAAUGCCUUAUCUUUUUUAUUUUAUCUUUAUAUUUAUUUUUAAUAACAUUUCAAACAAUUAUUUUUAUUUGUUUGAUUAAAGUGGAGUUAAAAAACCCUAGCCAAAUCAUCUUCUCCGCAAACCAAACAAGUUAAAAAUUUGUAACCCACUCAUCCUCCUGUAUGCCCAGGAAAGCCACUAAACGAGCUCUUAGUACUGGUUUAGUAUUGAGGUGCUUUUAUAAAAAGUAUGUAUAAAAAAAAAGCUGAACUCAAAAAAGUGUUUGGUAAACACUUAAAAAAAAGCUUAUUUUCAUAGUUUUGGGUGAAAAAAGCUGAAAACAUGAAGCAGCAAAAAUCAGUUUAUUCUCAUAACACAGCAGAAGCAGUUUUUUUUUUCAAAGCAUAGCAAUACCAAACUAACCUUUAGUCUAAUAUCUUCUACUCUUCGUUGGCGAUGUGAAGAUUAAUACAUAAAGGGGUAAUCAUAUAAUUAAAGGGACCGACUCGUGUCUCCAAAUUUUUUACGUAAAAUUUGACACAAGUUUUAAGCCAUUAAAUUAUCCCACUAUCAAUAGUUGAGAUUUUAACCUUUGAUUUUUUUUUUAAAUAAAAACAUACAUUGGAAAAAAAAAUUGAAACCUUUUUUAAUUAAUUACUAGCAUAUGGGCACACACAAAGUGUGUGAGAAAAAAUUUUAUUUUUGUUUUUGAAAUAGAAGGAGAGAGGAAGAGAGUGAGAAAUUUUUUAAUUUUUUUUUAAAUUAGAGAUAUGUUAGGAUUACAUGUAGGUGAGGCUUUGAAAAAAAAAACAGUAAAAUUUGAUUGUGUGAAAUUGCAUUUCUGCCUUAUAUUUCUUAUUCAUGUUCUGUUUUAAUUAGAGGGUUAAACUAGUAAUUUAAUAGGAUUUUGGUUGACAAUGAGUGUUUUAUUAAGGCCAAAUUUUUUCCGUGAUCUUUGUGGUGAUACUCUACUUUUAAAUAGACCCUUAUGGUGAAAAAGCUAUUAAUUGUAAUCCUGUGGUGAAAUUUGUUAUCAAUCAUAGUCCAAAUUGAGUUUUUCCUCAUUCUUUUGUCAUUUAUAGGGGCAAACUUGUUAUUUUCAUUUUUAUUGAUUCCAUCAACCAAUCAUAAAGCGUCAUAUGGACAUAAAUUUUUUUAUUUUUAAAACUUUUAGAGCUACAAUAAAAGAAUAAAUAAACAAUAAAAUUACAAGGUUCAUAUUAUUAGACUUUCUCAUUUCAAGAGAGCCAAGAGUACAAAUUCAAGAUUUAAAAAAUCACAAAAUACCUCACCGCGUUUAGGUUAGAAUAUCAGUUAUUAUGCAAACAUUGAAUUUAGUUUCAUUUCAAGAACAGUGGUGGACGGGAUGGCUAGGGUUAUGUGAGAAAGAGGGGGGAAGGUGGUGGGUGGUCGAUGUGGCUAUGGCUGACAAGGGUAGGGAUUGGGGAGGGAUUUGUUCUUUUUUUUUCCUUCUAUUUUUGUUGAUUAUAAAAAAGUGAAAUUACCAAAAAGAAAAAAAAAUGGAAUGACCUUUUUGCCCCUGCAUGUGGAUGAGAUUUUGAUAGAAAUUUCAAUUUAGACUAUGAUUGAUAAUGUACUUCACCACAGGGUUAAGAUAAUGUUCUUCUUUUCCUUGGUGAACUUGGCUACUUUCCUAACCUAUGCUUUUUCACCUUGCCCGCAUACUGAAUUUUUAGAAUUUGCUAUUCGUAGGUUUUUGGCCAUAGUAUUCACUCUAUAUAUUUUUGCAGUUGGUAAACCAUGGUGUGAGCUCUUCCGUGUUGGAGAAAAUGAAGACAGAAACUCAAGAGUUCUUCAACCUACCCAUGGAAGAGAAGAAAAAGUUCUCGCAACAGCCAGGAGACAUUGAAGGUUAUGGACAAGCAUUUGUAGUUUCUGAAGACCAAAAACUCGAUUGGUCUGACAUGUUCUUCUUGACCACCCUUCCUGUCCAAUUGAGGAAGCCUCACCUACUCCCAAAGCUCCCUUCUCCUUUCAGGUCCUCACGCGAUCUCAAAUAUAUAUGUUUGUGUGUUAUUUUGUGCAAUAUGAAUGUGAAUGCAUGAAUAUAUUGAAGAGUAAUGUUGUUUAGUAAAAGAAAAAAAGUGACCUCAUUGCUGAUAAUCACGAUAUAUAGUGCUCCAUAUAAUGAGCAAAUAAUGUCAACAAAUGUUACUGCUAACUUUAAUUAUAAUGAGCAAAAAAUUAUUACACAUAUUAUUACCUUAAUUAUAUAUAAAUUAUUUGCACAUAUAUAGUGCUACAUAUACGUACAAAAAUAUUAUACCAAUUAGUUUACCUAUACAAAAUUAUAAUGAGCAAAUCAUUUAUUUUUAUAUGUAACUUAUUUUUUAUGUAUUAUUACAUAUAUUGAGCAAUAAUAAUAUGUAUUGUCAAAUAAUUAAUUUAUAUUUUUAUAAUUAUAGGUAAAUUAGUUUUUAAGCAAAUAACAAUUCUUUUAUUAUGUAGGUAAUUCAUUUUGCAUUAUUCAUUCUACAUAUGCUGGGCACAAUUUAUUAUCAUAAGAUAUAUGUACAAAUAAUAAGUAAAUUAAUAUUGAAUCAAAUAACAUUAAUUUAUUUUGUAGGUAAAUUAUUUUGCAUAUAUUGUAACAUAUUUUAGGCACAUUUUAUUAUUAUAAGAUAGAUGUACAAAUAAUUCACCUAUAUUUUUUCAAUGCAGAGAGACUUUAGAAACUUACUCAUCGGAACUGAAAAACCUAGCCAUGACUAUCCUAUCACAAAUGGAAAAAGCUUUGCAGAUGGAAGCCAAG
Molecule: long non-coding RNA, 3222 nt
Filed under: Malus domestica (apple)
Lineage: Eukaryota; Viridiplantae; Streptophyta; Magnoliopsida; Rosales; Rosaceae
Description: long non-coding RNA (MDOM_LNC010928)
Source: RNAcentral